AUUCAUUGAUUUUUGAUUUUGCAACUAAUAAAGUUUAACAUAAAGAAACCGCGUCAACUCAUGAAAAGAAAUUGGUAUUAACUAUCAACAUGUAUUAUGUUGUUGCACUUAAUAAAGUAAACCUGGAUUUGAAACGGGAUUUGAGCGAUGGAAGGUUGAAGUUGGAUUGAGUGAUUGAUGCUGGAUUUGAACAAAUGAAGUUGAAUUUAGGGCGAUUUGAACGAAAAUAUGUAUUUGGAGGGAUUUGAAUGAAUGAAGCGAAUUUCAGUGAUUGAAGAUGAAUUUUAGCGAUUGAAGCUGCAUUUGAAGUGAAUAACACAAAAGAUUUGAGUGAUGUAGCCGAUUUUCCAUGGAGGAAGAAGGAGAAAGGUAU
This 373-nucleotide long non-coding RNA is filed under the name Lupinus angustifolius (narrow-leaved blue lupine). Its description in RNAcentral is "long non-coding RNA (LANG_LNC000268)". The record is from RNAcentral. Lineage: Eukaryota; Viridiplantae; Streptophyta; Magnoliopsida; Fabales; Fabaceae.